RNAcentral lists this ribosomal RNA (433 nucleotides) under uncultured bacterium. Its description in RNAcentral is "bacterial SSU rRNA". It matches the Rfam family "Bacterial small subunit ribosomal RNA", at positions 29 to 507 of the family's 1533-position model. RNAcentral also lists the same sequence under 1 other name. The record is from RNAcentral.
AACGAACGCUGGCGGCAGGCUUAACACAUGCAAGUCGAACGCCACCUUCGGGUGGAGUGGCAGACGGGUGAGUAACGCGUGGGAACGUACCUUUUGGUUCGGAAUAUUCUCGGGAAACUGAGAGCAAUACCGGAUAAGCCCUUCGGGGGAAAGAUUUAUCGCCGAAAGAUCGGCCCGCGUUAGAUUAGGUAGUUGGUAGGGUAAUGGCCUACCAAGCCUACGAUCUAUAGCUGGUCUGAGAGGAUGAUCAGCCACAUUGGGACUGAGACACGGCCCAAACUCCUACGGGAGGCAGCAGUGGGGAAUAUUGGACAAUGGGCGAAAGCCUGAUCCAGCCAUGCCGCGUGAAUGAUGAAGGCCUUAGGGUUGUAAAAUUCUUUCAACGGGGACGAUAAUGACGGUACCCGUAGAAGAAGCCCCGGCUAACUUCGUG